GACGAACCGGACAAACGUUAUUCGGAAUUAUUGGGCUUAAAGGGUGCGUAGGCGGUGCUGUAAGUCGGGUGUGAAAUACCUCAGCUCAACUGAGGAAUUGCGCACGAUACUGCAGUGCUUGAGGGAGACAGGGGUAAGCGGAACUGAUGGUGGAGCGGUGAAAUGCGUUGAUAUCAUCAGGAACACCAGUGGCGAAAGCGGCUUACUGGGUCUCUUCUGACGCUGAGGUACGAAAGCUAGGGUAGCGAACGGG
RNAcentral lists this unclassified non-coding RNA (253 nucleotides) under uncultured Pirellulaceae bacterium. Its description in RNAcentral is "contains 16S-23S intergenic spacer region". It matches the Rfam family "Bacterial small subunit ribosomal RNA", at positions 524 to 776 of the family's 1533-position model. The record is from RNAcentral. Lineage: Bacteria; Pseudomonadati; Planctomycetota; Planctomycetia; Pirellulales; Pirellulaceae.